RNAcentral lists this unclassified non-coding RNA (593 nucleotides) under Hevea brasiliensis (rubber tree). The record is from RNAcentral. Lineage: Eukaryota; Viridiplantae; Streptophyta; Magnoliopsida; Malpighiales; Euphorbiaceae.
UACACCAAUUGAACCACUAACCCACUAGUUGAACCAGUUACUGAUGACUCGAUCCCUCAGCUAGGCCAAGGCUUAGGCUGGGUUUAAUAACCAAUUCAUACAAUUUGAACUAAAAGCUAAAUUCAAAUCCUUAGAUCUCAAAUUUGGUAUCCGAUUUGAUUAGGUUGUGUUUGGGUUGAAAUUUUGAGUUAAAAGGAUUUGAUUUCAUGUUUUAAUUAAAAUUGCAUAAAUAGAGAUUUGAACUUGUACAGGAGCAUAAAAAUAUGCUUCAACAAAAUUUUAGAGGGUGUAUUCCAACUCUACUAUUUUAGUAAGUACUUCAAAUUCAUUUUCAAACAAAUGCUCGUCCACAUUAAUGAAUCUGAUCUCCAUUUCUGGGAACAUCCAACCACCAUUUAUGAAUCUACCAAAUCAAAGAAAACUUGUGCAAAGUUCUUCCAAAUCCUUUCUCUUCAAAUCUUCACCUAUCCAAAAUGCAAUUUUAGUCUACUUUUAUUCAACUGAUUAUGCAAUUCAAUUCAUAUGUUUAAUAACAAUAUAUUUUAUGAUGACACAUUCAAUUAAAUUUACCGGAUGAAGGGAAGAACAAAAAG